Molecule: ribosomal RNA, 641 nt
Filed under: Salmonella enterica subsp. enterica serovar Infantis
Lineage: Bacteria; Pseudomonadati; Pseudomonadota; Gammaproteobacteria; Enterobacterales; Enterobacteriaceae
Also listed under: 1 other name
Description: partial 23S ribosomal RNA
Rfam family: Bacterial large subunit ribosomal RNA
Source: RNAcentral
AGACCCGAAACCCGGUGAUCUAGCCAUGGGCAGGUUGAAGGUUGGGUAACACUAACUGGAGGACCGAACCGACUAAUGUUGAAAAAUUAGCGGAUGACCUGUGGCUGGGGGUGAAAGGCCAAUCAAACCGGGAGAUAGCUGGUUCUCCCCGAAAGCUAUUUAGGUAGCGCCUCGUGAAUUCAUCUCCGGGGGUAGAGCACUGUUUCGGCUAGGGGGCCAUCCCGGCUUACCAACCCGAUGCAAACUGCGAAUACCGGAGAAUGUUAUCACGGGAGACACACGGCGGGUGCUAACGUCCGUCGUGAAGAGGGAAACAACCCAGACCGCCAGCUAAGGUCCCAAAGUCAUGGUUAAGUGGGAAACGAUGUGGGAAGGCCCAGACAGCCAGGAUGUUGGCUUAGAAGCAGCCAUCAUUUAAAGAAAGCGUAAUAGCUCACUGGUCGAGUCGGCCUGCGCGGAAGAUGUAACGGGGCUAAACCAUGCACCGAAGCUGCGGCAGCGAACGUAUCACUUAAAGCGAUUCAGCGGGUUACGAUUGACGGAGCGAAGCGACGUCAAAGCGUAUACAAAGUCGAGUCGGUUUAAGGAUACGUUCGUUGGGUAGGGGAGCGUUCUGUAAGCCUGCGAAGGUGGCCUGUGAG